This 327-nucleotide ribosomal RNA is filed under the name Triticum aestivum (bread wheat). RNAcentral describes it as "partial small subunit ribosomal RNA". The record is from RNAcentral. Lineage: Eukaryota; Viridiplantae; Streptophyta; Magnoliopsida; Poales; Poaceae.
AUGUCCCGAAUAAGUUAUGGUGUCAUUACCCUGAUCCCCAAAGUAGUUGGGGCUAUGGAUAUUCGACACUUUAGACCUAUCAUGGUGAUCAAUGUUCUAGAACACAUCUUCGCGAAAGUUUGCGCGACUCAUCUGGCCCCUGUCGCGGAGCGGCUAGAUCACCCACUCCAGGCAUUUCUGAAGGAGCGAAGGAUCCAUUAUGGGAUCUUGGCCCUUCAUGAGAUUGUCCAUGAGGUGAGGGCACGUGGCUAUAAGGGUUUCCUCAAGUUGGACUUCCAGAAGGCUUAUGACCGACUGGAUUGGUCCUUCUUGCGAUUAGUAUUCUAG